GAUUCCCGACUCUGGCUGGCGGCGGGUGUGCUCGUAUGUGCUCUCCUUGGGGCAUGGGUCUGGUGAGCCAUGGAUGGAUAUAAAAUUACCAGUAACUGGGUGAUGGCCAGAAAAUCCUGGCUGUUGAUAGUGUUGUGGAUGGCUGUUUCUCUUUCAUCAGCAGACACAGGAUUCUUGGAGUCUAUAGAGGUCCAGCCAGACCCCACAGAAUCUCCCUCCACAGGUAAGUCUUAAUAACUUCGCAAUUAAUCUUGAUUGCAGGUAGCAGGCAUUUACGAGCUCUUUGUUGCUCGUUAACAACUUUGUUGCCGACUUUUUAAUAAUCUCGCCUCUCCCCCGCCUGGGCUUGUUUGCAGUCGAGAGCCGUUGGUGAAAGUUUAACAGCUGAUGAUGAGAAUUCUGAUAGCAGGUAAACUACCUAGAAGUAGCUAAAAACGUCAUAUACAAAAAUGUAUUUAUUGAAAGAUCAAGAAUUAUCUGCGGCCAGGUUUUGGCUAAUAAGUUUCGGGUUUGGAACGAGAUUCGAUGAACUGGAAUAGAAAUCGCGGCAACUCCAAUAAUGAUCAUCUCAGGGAUGGAGGAAGUCAUGCAAAAGAAGCUCCAGUGAAAUUGAACAAGAGAAUCAAGAAAUAUCCCUGAAGUUCCAAAACUUUUUGAAAAUCUGAGACGUCUUCUUGACAAAAUCCUUGAUACAAUCCCAGCGGGUGACUCGAGUCUUUAUAGCGGAGAUCUUUUGUCUGUCAGAGGAAAAGGAUUUCGGGCAUUCCUUGCAGAGAGAUUCAUAGGAGAGGCAUGCGGGGGAAUAGGACCUGAAGGAGGCGCGCGCGGAGCAGAAAGCAAGACGCGGUCCUACGGGGAUGGGGGAGGAUAGCGGAAAAUAAGGGGGGGGGGUAGGAUAGGGGAAUAUGGAGUGCGGAUGAACAGUCCCCUUCAGAGAAAUGGGUUUGGGCGAUAUAGGUAAGUGCGGCGGUUCCAUCGAGAUAAAUCCAGAGGCACAAACACCAAAUUCCUCUAUAGUGCGCCAAUCCGGUCAGAUCAAGAAAGUCAGUGCGCGACUCUUGGUAACAAGUCUAGCAUAGAUCACAGUGCAAACCGAAAAAAAAAAAAAAAAAAAAAAAAAAAAAAAAAAAAAAAAAAAAAAAAAAAAAAAAAAAAAA
This is a long non-coding RNA of Penaeus monodon (black tiger shrimp), 1157 nucleotides long. RefSeq lists it as uncharacterized. The transcript is spliced from 3 exons. The record is from RefSeq and is a predicted model, not a curated record. NCBI's taxonomy places the organism in Eukaryota, Metazoa, Arthropoda, Malacostraca, Decapoda, Penaeidae.